UGUGUGACUGCGUACCUUUUGUAUAAUGGGUCAGCGACUUAUAUUCUGUAGCAAGGUUAACCGAAUAGGGGAGCCGAAGGGAAACCGAGUCUUAACUGGGCGUUAAGUUGCAGGGUAUAGACCCGAAACCCGGUGAUCUAGCCAUGGGCAGGUUGAAGGUUGGGUAACACUAACUGGAGGACCGAACCGACUAAUGUUGAAAAAUUAGCGGAUGACUUGUGGCUGGGGGUGAAAGGCCAAUCAAACCGGGAGAUAGCUGGUUCUCCCCGAAAGCUAUUUAGGUAGCGCCUCGUGAAUUCAUCUCCGGGGGUAGAGCACUGUUUCGGCAAGGGGGUCAUCCCGACUUACCAACCCGAUGCAAACUGCGAAUACCGGAGAAUGUUAUCACGGGAGACACACGGCGGGUGCUAACGUCCGUCGUGAAGAGGGAAACAACCCAGACCGCCAGCUAAGGUCCCAAAGUCAUGGUUAAGUGGGAAACGAUGUGGGAAGGCCCAGACAGCCAGGAUGUUGGCUUAGAAGCAGCCAUCAUUUAAAGAAAGCGUAAUAGCUCACUGGUCGAGUCGGCCUGCGCGGAAGAUGUAACGGGGCUAAACCAUGCACCGAAGCUGCGGCAGCGACACUGUGUGUUGUUGGGUAGGGGAGCGU
RNAcentral lists this ribosomal RNA (648 nucleotides) under Escherichia coli. RNAcentral's name for it is "partial 23S ribosomal RNA". It matches the Rfam family "Bacterial large subunit ribosomal RNA", at positions 590 to 1239 of the family's 2925-position model. Lineage: Bacteria; Pseudomonadati; Pseudomonadota; Gammaproteobacteria; Enterobacterales; Enterobacteriaceae. The record is from RNAcentral.